This 172-nucleotide small RNA is filed under the name Chelonoidis abingdonii (Abingdon island giant tortoise). Its description in RNAcentral is "TUC338 (ENSCABG00000002251.1)". Lineage: Eukaryota; Metazoa; Chordata; Testudines; Testudinidae. The record is from RNAcentral.
UUCACGUAAAGAGAGAUUGAAAUUUGACUGUCCACAUAUUAGAUAUAACGAUAUAGUGGCAGUGCAGGCUUUCCCCCAUUGCCCCAUGAUACAGAUGUGUUUCAACCUUGACUUGGAGGGACUUGAGACAGAUAGUAGCACAGUCUCCAAGUCUAUUCAGUUUUUGGUUUCU